CGGCAAAACGCUUCUAUACUGCAGUCGAGCGGACAGAUGGGAGCUUGCUCCCUGAUGUUAGCGGCGGACGGGUGAGUAACACGUGGGUAACCUGCCUGUAAGACUGGGAUAACUCCGGGAAACCGGGGCUAAUACCGGAUGGUUGUUUGAACCGCAUGGUUCAAACAUAAAAGGUGGCUUCGGCUACCACUUACAGAUGGACCCGCGGCGCAUUAGCUAGUUGGUGAGGUAACGGCUCACCAAGGCAACGAUGCGUAGCCGACCUGAGAGGGUGAUCGGCCACACUGGGACUGAGACACGGCCCAGACUCCUACGGGAGGCAGCAGUAGGGAAUCUUCCGCAAUGGACGAAAGUCUGACGGAGCAACGCCGCGUGAGUGAUGAAGGUUUUCGGAUCGUAAAGCUCUGUUGUUAGGGAAGAACAAGUACCGUUCGAAUAGGGCGGUACCUUGACGGUACCUAACCAGAAAGCCACGGCUAACUACGUGCCAGCAGCCGCGGUAAUACGUAGGUGGCAAGCGUUGUCCGGAAUUAUUGGGCGUAAAGGGCUCGCAGGCGGUUUCUUAAGUCUGAUGUGAAAGCCCCCGGCUCAACCGGGGAGGGUCAUUGGAAACUGGGGAACUUGAGUGCAGAAGAGGAGAGUGGAAUUCCACGUGUAGCGGUGAAAUGCGUAGAGAUGUGGAGGAACACCAGUGGCGAAGGCGACUCUCUGGUCUGUAACUGACGCUGAGGAGCGAAAGCGUGGGGGAGCGAACAGGAUUAGAUACCCUGGUAGUCCACGCCGUAACGAUGAGUGCUAAGUGUUAGGGGGUUUCCGCCCCUUAGUGCUGCAGCUAACGCAUUAAGCACUCCGCCUGGGGAGUACGGUCGCAAGACUGAAACUCAUGGGAGUUGACGGGGGGCCCGCACAAGCGGUGGAGCAUGUGUUUAAUUCGAAGCACGCGAAGAAUCUUACCAGGUCUUGACUUCCUCUGACAUCCUAAAAAUAGACGUCCCCUUUCGGGGCGAAUGACAAAGAGGAGCAUGAUGUCAUCAGCUCGUGUCGUGAGAUGUUGGGUUAAGUCCCGCAACGAGCGCAACCCUUGAUCUUAGUUGCCAGCAUUCAGUUGGGCACUCUAAGGUGACUGCCGGUGACAAACCGGAGGAAGGUGGGGAUGACGUCAAAUCAUCAUGCCCCUUAUGACCUGGGCUACACACGUGCUACAAUGGACAGAACAAAGGGCAGCGAAACCGCGAGGUUAAGCCAAUCCCACAAAUCUGUUCUCAGUUCGGAUCGCAGUCUGCAACUCGACUGCGUGAAGCUGGAAUCGCUAGUAAUCGCGGAUCAGCAUGCCGCGGUGAAUACGUUCCCGGGCCUUGUACACACCGCCCGUCACACCACGAGAGUUUGUAACACCCGAAGUCGGUGAGGAAACUAGGGCCCUU
Molecule: ribosomal RNA, 1424 nt
Filed under: Bacillus tequilensis
Lineage: Bacteria; Bacillati; Bacillota; Bacilli; Caryophanales; Bacillaceae
Description: bacterial SSU rRNA
Rfam family: Bacterial small subunit ribosomal RNA
Source: RNAcentral